RNAcentral lists this transfer RNA (89 nucleotides) under Acidimicrobiaceae bacterium. Its description in RNAcentral is "tRNA-Leu". It matches the Rfam family "tRNA". From Rfam's summary of the family: Transfer RNA (tRNA) molecules are approximately 80 nucleotides in length. Their secondary structure includes four short double-helical elements and three loops (D, anti-codon, and T loops). Lineage: Bacteria; Bacillati; Actinomycetota; Acidimicrobiia; Acidimicrobiales; Acidimicrobiaceae. The record is from RNAcentral.
GCCCGGGUGGCGGAAUCGGUAGACGCAGGGGGCUUAAACCCCCCGGGAGGGAAACCUCCAUGCGGGUUCAACUCCCGCCCCGGGCACCA